RNAcentral lists this transfer RNA (73 nucleotides) under Streptomyces sp. F-3. RNAcentral's name for it is "tRNA-Glu". The stretch from base 1 to 58 matches the Rfam family "tRNA", at positions 14 to 71 of the family's 71-position model. From Rfam's summary of the family: Transfer RNA (tRNA) molecules are approximately 80 nucleotides in length. The record is from RNAcentral. Lineage: Bacteria; Bacillati; Actinomycetota; Actinomycetes; Kitasatosporales; Streptomycetaceae.
AUUGGCAGCACGACGGAUUCUGGUUCCGUUAGUCUUGGUUCGAGUCCAGGUAGACCAGCUGAUCUGCGGAAAC